UGCAACCAGAGGCUGGAUUUCGUUUCUUUUCUUGCUUUCCCAGCUGCUUGACACCUCGCUAAAAACAAUGUAUUAAAUCGAUGUUAAAUCAUGUUAACCACAACCUUUUAAUUACGCAACCUAGUUCCGUUGCUUAGCAACUAUAGGAAACAAUUACAAUAAGUUCAGUACCACCUUAGUGCUUACAGAUUAGGAGACAUUAGUAUGUGUUUACUGCAUUUGUACUGUUAUACUUUUAAUUCAGAGAAGAAAAAUGUUGCUGUGUUGGGUAAAAUACAUUAGUAGUGCAAACUCUCUCCAAACGUGAGAACUACACGAUUUAAAAUACCCGGAUGUAAGUGAUUACGUGACGUCACCACAGUUUGCUAAAGUUUAAUUUAAAGAACGGGGGGAAACACGGAAUAACUAUUUCACAGAAUUAAUACCCUCAAAUUUGAAACUUGCAUGUUUUUCCAGCUGUGGAAGUUCAGGGAAAAUACCCGUUAAUGCCCGUUAACGAUGACAUUAAACACUGCCCCUUGCGGCCACGACUUCCUCUUCUUCGAACCUCGUCAAGCAGAUAUGCCAGGACCAGGAUCAACAAUAAAGAAAUGUGUGUCUUGUUCUGUGUCACUCAAUGUGGCAUGCAAGAACUGCAAGAACUGCAAAUCAGCGCAGCCCCACAAGCUGCGGUUAAAAAAAAAAUUGGAAAAAUUUGAUUGUAAAUCAAAAACAUGGGCCCAGGCCCAGAAAAAAAAUAAAACGUCAUCGCACCUAAUGGAUGAAGCUUCUUUGUUGCUGGAAAGGUUUCAGGCCCUUGGCUCCAGGGCGGUGUUAUUUAUAUCCCGCCCUGGAAUCAAAACAUGGACCAAUGAGGUGCUUCUUCCCAGGUG
Long non-coding RNA from Labeo rohita (rohu), 872 nucleotides. RefSeq lists it as uncharacterized. The transcript has 3 exons. NCBI's taxonomy places the organism in Eukaryota, Metazoa, Chordata, Actinopteri, Cypriniformes, Cyprinidae. The record is from RefSeq and is a predicted model, not a curated record.